Molecule: ribosomal RNA, 648 nt
Filed under: uncultured bacterium
Lineage: Bacteria
Description: bacterial SSU rRNA
Rfam family: Bacterial small subunit ribosomal RNA
Source: RNAcentral
AACCGGCGAACGGGUGCGUAACACGUGAGCAACCUACCGAGAUGUGGGGGAUAGCCGGCCCAACGGCCGGGUAAUACCGCAUACGAUUGCUUGGGGGAGUCCCCGGGCAAGGAAACCCGCAAGGGGCAUUUCGAGGGGCUCGCGGCCUAUCAGCUAGUUGGCGGGGUAAUGGCCCACCAAGGCAGCGACGGGUAGCUGGUCUGAGAGGAUGGCCAGCCACAUUGGGACUGAGAAACGGCCCAGACUCCUACGGGAGGCAGCAGUGGGGAAUCUUGCGCAAUGGUCGAGAGACUGACGCAGCGACGCCGCGUGUGGGAGGACGCCCUUCGGGGUGUAAACCACUGUUGCCCGGGACGAACAUCCACUUUCGAGUGGACUGACGGUACCGGGUGAGGAAGCACCGGCUAACUCCGUGCCAGCAGCCGCGGUAAUACGGAGGGUGCGAGCGUUGUCCGGAAUCACUGGGCGUAAAGGGCGCGUAGGUGGCGCGAGGAGUCAACGGUGAAAGUUCAGGGCUCAACCCUGAAUCGGCCGUCGAUACUCUCGGGCUCGAGCACUGUAGAGGCAGGUGGAAUUCCGGGUGUAGCGGUGGAAUGCGUAGAGAUCCGGAAGAACACCGGUGGCGAAGGCGGCCUGCUGGGCAGUUGC